This 1033-nucleotide ribosomal RNA is filed under the name uncultured archaeon. RNAcentral's name for it is "bacterial SSU rRNA". It matches the Rfam family "Archaeal small subunit ribosomal RNA", at positions 322 to 1353 of the family's 1478-position model. The record is from RNAcentral.
CCUAUGGGGUGCAGCAGGCGCGAAACCUCCGCAAUGCGGGCAACCGCGACGGGGGGACCCCCAGUGCCGUGGCAAAGCCACGGCUUUUCCGGAGUGUAAAAAGCUCCGGGAAUAAGGGCUGGGCAAGGCCGGUGGCAGCCGCCGCGGUAAUACCGGCGGCCCAAGUGGUGGCCACUAUUAUUGGGCCUAAAGCGUCCGUAGCCGGGCCCGUAAGUCCCUGGCGAAAUCCCACGGCUCAACCGUGGGGCUUGCUGGGGAUACUGCGGGCCUUGGGACCGGGAGAGGCCGGGGGUACUCCUGGGGUAGGGGUGAAAUCCUAUAAUCCCAGGAGGACCGCCAGUGGCGAAGGCGCCCGGCUGGAACGGGUCCGACGGUGAGGGACGAAGGCCAGGGGAGCGAACCGGAUUAGAUACCCGGGUAGUCCUGGCUGUAGAGGAUGCGGGCUAGGUGUCGGGCGAGCUUCGGGCUCGCCCGGUGCCGAAGGGAAGCCGUUAAGCCCGCCGCCUGGGGAGUACGGCCGCAAGGCUGAAACUUACAGRAAUUGGUGGGGGAGCACUACAAGGGGUGGAGCGUGCAGUUUAAUUGGAUUCAACGCCGGGGAACCUCACCGGGGGCGACGGCAGGAUGAAGGCCAGGCUGAAGGUCUUGCCGGACACGCCGAGAGGAGGUGCAUGGCCGCCGUCAGCUCGUACCGUGAGGCGUCCACUUAAGUGUGGUAACGAGCGAGACCCGCGCCCCCAGUUGCCCAGUCCUCCCCGCUGGGGAGGAGGCACUCUGGGGGGACCGCCGGCGAUAAGCCGGAGGAAGGAGCGGGCGACGGUAGGUCAGUAUGCCCCGAAACCCCCGGGCUACACGCGCGCUACAAUGGGCGGGACAAUGGGAUCCGACCCCGAAAGGGGAAGGGAAUCCCCUAAACCCGCCCCCAGUUCGGAUCGCGGGCUGCAACUCGCCCGCGUGAAGCUGGAAUCCCUAGUAUCCGCGUGUCAUCAUCGCGCGGUGAAUACGUCCGUGCUCCUUGCACACACCGCCCGUC